This 504-nucleotide ribosomal RNA is filed under the name uncultured bacterium. Its description in RNAcentral is "partial 16S ribosomal RNA". It matches the Rfam family "Bacterial small subunit ribosomal RNA", at positions 30 to 523 of the family's 1533-position model. The record is from RNAcentral.
AUUGAACGCUGGCGGCAUGCCUUACACAUGCAAGUCGAACGGCAGCAUGGAGAGCUUGCUCUCUGAUGGCGAGUGGCGAACGGGUGAGUAAUGCAUCGGAACGUACCGUGUAAUGGGGGAUAACGUAGCGAAAGUUACGCUAAUACCGCAUACGACCUGAGGGUGAAAGCAGGGGAUCGCAAGACCUUGCGUUAUACGAGCGGCCGAUGUCAGAUUAGCUAGUUGGUGAGGUAAGGGCUCACCAAGGCGACGAUCUGUAACGGGUCUGAGAGGAUGAUCCGCCACACUGGGACUGAGACACGGCCCAGACUCCUACGGGAGGCAGCAGUGGGGAAUUUUGGACAAUGGGGGCAACCCUGAUCCAGCCGUGCCGCGUGAGUGAAGAAGGCCUUCGGGUUGUAAAGCUCUUUCGGCCGGGAAGAAAUCGCACAGGCUAAUACUCUGUGUGGAUGACGGUACCGGCAUAAGAAGCACCGGCUAACUACGUGCCAGCCGCCGCCGUAA